This 1411-nucleotide long non-coding RNA is filed under the name Equus caballus (horse). Its description in RNAcentral is "lncRNA (ENSECAG00000055078.1)". Lineage: Eukaryota; Metazoa; Chordata; Mammalia; Perissodactyla; Equidae. The record is from RNAcentral.
UGGAAGAGUCUGGAGGUGGCUGCUAGAAAAAGCCUGCAUUGCCACGAAUGCAUGUUAAAAGAAAUUCUGGUGAGAGCUCAGAAGAAGAGGACAGCUAUAGAGAGAGGCUCAAUCUUCCCAGAGAAUACCUAAAUCAUAAACAGCGUGUUCCUAGGAAUAUGGACAGACAUGUUAUUGGAAACUGGAGGAGAGGUGAUCCUUGUUACACAGUGGCAAAGAGCUUGGCUGCGUUGUGUUCAAAACACUGGCUGGUGUUUUGUGGAAGGUAGAACCUGUGAGCAGUGACACUGGAUAUUUGGCGGAGGCUAUUUCUAAACAACAGAAGGGUGAUAGAGGCUCUAUCCAGAAGCUGAGGCCAGCUUUCGUGAGGACAUGUGUGAGAUGCUGGGUGAGCCGUGCUGCUUCAGAACCCAGACGACAAAAUUUCGGAGAUCUAAACGUAUCCAGGGAAGUAGAAGAAAUCACUCCAGGAGAGGGCACAUUCCCUAUUACAAAUGGGAAUGCAUGAUGAUAGGAAACAAUGUAAAGCUCAGGGUUCCUCAUCUCUACAAGGCUGCUGCAAAACGACUGGCAAUGCCAAUCCAGAAAAUGCUGCCCUCUGCAUGUCAAAGAGGAUCUUCUGCCUCUGACAACUCAAAGGGAAAGGAGAGAGGGGUGAAGAGCAUCCCUUGCAGAUGGUAGCCAGAGAUGCCUCCCAGGGUCCUUUGCUUCCUCCCCCAGCAGGGAUCAACAGGUCUUCCACCGCAUCAUAAAAGCUAAGAUGUGCUGGCUCAGAGGCCUUCAUAAUUUGAUCACACAAUUACUAGGAGGGAAGGGUCGGUGCUUUAUGGCCAUCAGCUGCGUGGGCACCCUUUCCAUUACCAUCAGUGCUGGGUCAUAAUGAAAAAUGGGCAUGAUGCUAUUCAUUUGAGAGAUCUUUAAGGAUGAGGCUUUCUGGGCUGGUUUCCUGAUGGAUUUUUUUUGGUAAUGUCACAGUAUUCUGCGAGGCCCUCACAUGCCUCUUGCUUUACCUCCCUUGGAGAAUAAACGAACUUCAAAGGACACCUGCUUCUGAUUUAUGGUUCAGCCCAGGCCCUUGGCUUUGGCUCUUUCUCCUUCCAAACCAAGGGCUUUCAGGAUGAGAGGGCUGUGGGACUCAGCGACUCUGGGUGAGGGUGCUGGGGCAGUGCCAUCCUCCACCCUGCCGCCUGGUGGGGUUCCCGCCCUUGGCUGGACCUCCAGGCUUGCUUCCUUCCUCCCAGCUUCCUGCAUGGGGCUCCAGCGGCUGCCUGCUCAGUGGAAGAAAGUGCUCUGGGAGGAGGGAGGUCUGGUCUUCAGUCAGGGCUUCAGGUCCCGUGAGAACUUCCAAACCUGCUUGGAGGCCCUUUGUAGGGGCGUGUGGGAUUCCCAGUGUCUGCAGAGAAGAGGAGAC